GCGUGAGUAGUUCAACCUGGUUUAGAACCUCAGCCUUCCAAGCUGAUGAUCCGGGUUCAAAUCCCGGCUUACGCA
RNAcentral lists this transfer RNA (75 nucleotides) under Candidatus Woesearchaeota archaeon. Its description in RNAcentral is "tRNA-Gly". It matches the Rfam family "tRNA". From Rfam's summary of the family: Transfer RNA (tRNA) molecules are approximately 80 nucleotides in length. Their secondary structure includes four short double-helical elements and three loops (D, anti-codon, and T loops). The record is from RNAcentral. Lineage: Archaea; Nanobdellati; Candidatus Woesearchaeota.